Molecule: non-coding RNA, 73 nt
Organism: Phrynosoma platyrhinos (Desert horned lizard)
Lineage: Eukaryota; Metazoa; Chordata; Lepidosauria; Squamata; Phrynosomatidae
Source: the annotation of a GenBank genome assembly
GGCCAGCAUGGAGUAGUGGCUUAAGCAUUAGACUAUGCCUCUGAAGACCAGGGUUUGAUUCCCAGCUUGGCCA